CGGGUUACGAAUUCGCCCCUUAGAGUUUGAUCAUGGGCUCAGGAUGAACGCUGGCGGCGUGUUUAACACAUGCAAGUCGAGCGAGAAGCUUCUCAGUUGAUUCUUCGGAUGAAACAGAGGGGUGGAAAGCGGCGGACGGGUGAGUAACGCGUAGGCAACCUGCCCCUUGCAGAGGGAUAGCCUCGGGAAACCGGGAUUAAAACCUCAUAAUGCGUAUCCUAGACAUCUUGGAUACGCCAAAGAUUUAUCGGCAAGGGAUGGGCCUGCGUCUGAUUAGCUAGUUGGUGGGGUAACGGCCUACCAAGGCAACGAUCAGUAGCCGACCUGAGAGGGUGAUCGGCCACAUUGGAACUGAGACACGGUCCAAACUCCUACGGGAGGCAGCAGUGGAGAAUCUUGCACAAUGGGGGAAACCCUGAUGCAGCAACGCCGCGUGAAGGAAGACGGCCCUUGGGUUGUAAACUUCUGUUCUAAGGGAAGAUAGUGACGGUACCUUAGGAGCAAGUCCCGGCUAACUACGUGCCAGCAGCCGCGGUAAUACGUAGGGGGCGAGCGUUAUCCGGAAUUAUUGGGCGUAAAGAGUACGUAGGUGGUUUCCUAAGCAUGGGGUUUAAGGCAACGGCUUAACCAUUGUUCGCCCCAUGAACUGGGUUACUUGAGUGCUGGAGGGGAAAGCGGAAUUCCUAGUGUAGCGGUGAAAUGCGUAGAUAUUAGGAGGAACACCGGUGGCGAAGGCGGCUUUCUGGACAGUAACUGACACUGAGGUACGAAAGUGUGGGGAGCAAACAGGAUUAGAUACCCUGGUAGUCCACACCGUAAAACGAUGAGCACUAGGUGUCGGCCUANCAAU
RNAcentral lists this ribosomal RNA (850 nucleotides) under uncultured bacterium. RNAcentral's name for it is "bacterial SSU rRNA". It matches the Rfam family "Bacterial small subunit ribosomal RNA", at positions 1 to 835 of the family's 1533-position model. The record is from RNAcentral.